GCUGGCGGCGUGCUUAACACAUGCAAGUCGAACGGAAAGGCCCUGCUUUUGUGGGGUGCUCGAGUGGCGAACGGGUGAGUAACACGUGAGUAACCUGCCCUUGACUUUGGGAUAACUUCAGGAAACUGGGGCUAAUACCGGAUAGGAGCUCCUGCUGCAUGGUGGGGGUUGGAAAGUUUCGGCGGUUGGGGAUGGACUCGCGGCUUAUCAGCUUGUUGGUGGGGUAGUGGCUUACCAAGGCUUUGACGGGUAGCCGGCCUGAGAGGGUGACCGGCCACAUUGGGACUGAGAUACGGCCCAGACUCCUACGGGAGGCAGCAGUGGGGAAUAUUGCACAAUGGGCGGAAGCCUGAUGCAGCAACGCCGCGUGCGGGAUGACGGCCUUCGGGUUGUAAACCGCUUUCGCCUGUGACGAAGCGUGAGUGACGGUAAUGGGUAAAGAAGCACCGGCUAACUACGUGCCAGCAGCCGCGGUGAUACGUAGGGUGCGAGCGUUGUCCGGAUUUAUUGGGCGUAAAGGGCUCGUAGGUGGUUGAUCGCGUCGGAAGUGUAAUCUUGGGGCUUAACCCUGAGCGUGCUUUCGAUACGGGUUGACUUGAGGAAGGUAGGGGAGAAUGGAAUUCCUGGUGGAGCGGUGGAAUGCGCAGAUAUCAGGAGGAACACCAGUGGCGAAGGCGGUUCUCUGGGCCUUUCCUGACGCUGAGGAACGAAAGCCUGGGGAGCGAACAGGCUUAAAUACCCUGGUAGUCCACGCUGUAAACGGUGGGUACUAGGUGUGGGGUCCAUUCCACGGGUUCCGUGCCGUAGCUAACGCUUUAAGUACCCCGCCUGGGGAGUACGGCCGCAAGGCUAAAACUCAAAGGAAUUGACGGGGCCCCGCACAAGCGGCGGAGCAUGCGGAUUAAUUCGAUGCAACGCGUAGAACCUUACCUGGGUUUGACAUGGAUCGGGAGUGCUCAGAGAUGGGUGUGCCUCUUUUGGGGUCGGUUCACAGGUGGUGCAUGGCUGUCGUCAGCUCGUGUCGUGAGAUGUUGGGUUAAGUCCCGCAACGAGCGCAACCCUUGUUCACUGUUGCCAGCACGUUAUGGUGGGGACUCAGUGGAGACCGCCGGGGUCAACUCGGAGGAAGGUGGGGAUGACGUCAAGUCAUCAUGCCCCUUAUGUCCAGGGCUUCACGCAUGCUACAAUGGCUGGUACAGAGAGUGGCGAGCCUGUGAGGGUGAGCGAAUCUCGGAAAGCCGGUCUCAGUUCGGAUUGGGGUCUGCAACUCGACCUCAUGAAGUCGGAGUCGCUAGUAAUCGCAGAUCAGCAACGCUGCGGUGAAUACGUUCCCGGGGCUUGUACACACCGCCCGUCAAGUCAUGAAAGUUGGUAACACCCGAAGCCGGUGGCGUAACCGUUGUGGGGGAGCCGUCGAAGGUGGGACUGG
Molecule: ribosomal RNA, 1429 nt
Filed under: uncultured organism
Description: SSU rRNA
Rfam family: Bacterial small subunit ribosomal RNA
Source: RNAcentral